CCAACAUUUCUAACAAAUAUGGUACCCAAGAUAGACAUCAUGAUACUCAUAGGUAAACAAUUGACUUACAUGUUCAUUAAAUCAUCAUCAAACAUUGUUUUUUCAUGCUGUAGGUAAACUUUGAAAACUAUGAAGCGAUGCUGUCAUUCAUCCAUGUGAAUGGGAAUCAUUGGAACAUGCUGGUUUGUUGCCUUCUUAAUUUUCACUCAGUAAGAUGUUUGUUAUCACAUCGUGAAAUAAAGUAUUAAUUACAGUAUACCCUCUCUUCUUUCACAGUACAUUCAUGCAAAGUCUGGCACAGUCUUCCAAUUGGAUCCAUCACCAGCAUCCUCUGAGCUUGAGGACUCUGCACAUGCCGCCACGAAAAUACAGUAAAUAUUCAAGCUAGAAUUCUAAACAUUUGAAGUCAGUCAUGUUCACAUUCAACAAUGGCAGCUGUUUCUUAUUGUAUGACCUCAGUAAUCAGUGGUAUGUUUGAAGAUCUGUCCAUAUGCCUUAUAAGUGAAUACAAACUUUGCUAAAAUGUAUCUGUGAAUGAAAAAUGUUUUGGUAGUGCCUAAAGAAAUUAUCGCAACAUCACGUUUCUUCAGGGAAUACUUCAAGAUGAGGAGAACAUCCCAUGGGAAAACGGACUGGGUUGAUGUUGAGUGGAAAGGAGGAGUAAUGCCCCACCCAGUGCAAAGGGAUGGUUGCAGUUGUGGCGUUAUUGUUGUUGAAAUGGCCAGAGCAGUAAUGGGAGCCUUCCCUCAGUUGCCCCAAAUGCAAUUUGAAACCACCAGGAAAGCCAUGGGAGAAUCUAGGAGGAAUAUGGGUCUCCAAGUCCUUGAGGCAUCAGUCUUUGAUGAAGAGACAUGUGCAAUGUGUGGAGCUGACAGGCCCCCUGGAGAAGCACCUGCCAACACAAACUGGAUCCAGUGUGAUAAAUGUGACCGGUGGUUCCAUGCCGUCUGUUUAACCAUGGACCCCAGGACACUUCAAGAGCUGAAGCAAAAGCAAUGGCUGUGUGUGCUGUGCAAAUAAAUAUUUUACCUGUUACCUGUCCUACAAGUGCCUCAUGACCUUUAUAUUACCUUUACAUUUCUCUCGUUCCGCUGCUGCAACUUGCACCACAUCCCAUGAGCCCCAGCCAGCAUGUCUCCUCCCCUUCUCUUCGCUGCUGUGUUGGCCUUAGUGCUGUGUGCAAGGCACCGACUGAUAUGACCACAUUAACCGGUGUGCUGACUACGUGUACACAAGGAACCAUGUGCUCUUGUGGUCAUCCUGAAAAACUAAAAUACUAUCAACUUUUGGUAGACUUGUACAACUUUACCCUGUAAAUAAACACGACAAAUUACAAAAAAUAUUGGCUAAACUUUUAUUAAGUAGGACAAAUCACAACAGCAGCCGUCUAUUCCUGAGACUGCCCCAACGGCUCACUGCCUUGUCAAAAUCAAAUUGAGCAAUUGCAGGCCCCUCAAUACUGAUCCUGAGGAGGUGGUUCAGGGUAGCGUUAGUCAUGGUAGACCUCCUGUGCCAUGCCUCUAUGGAACAAGUUUUGGGGCUCUAGAGUCAAUAAUGGCGACGCUAUAGAAAUGUUACUAUUGUUGUCGUUUUCAGUUUUGCACUUUGCAGACGGUCCCUAAGCUCGCGGCUGAAAGCCGACUGCUCGUAGAAGCCAAUGCAAUUCAGUUUUGCACUUUGCAGACGGUCCCUAAGCUCGCGGCUGAAAGCCGACUGCUCGUAGAAGCCAACGCAAUUCACCGUUCGCUAAAGACGGCUCGUUUGGAUGAAAACUAUGUUGUAGCUGGUUCUCUGGGUUACUACACUUUUAUUGGGCUAAUUCGGCCGUGCAGCUGCCAUUUAGUUCCCUGCUACGGGUUCCCUGGUAACAGGGAACCCUGUUCGACUGUUCGUUUUGCUCUCGCAAAACUCUUGAUCAACACUCAGCAUUUGUUUAUUUCUGUCGUUCAUUGAAACCGCUUUGUGCAGAGAGAACUGGAAUGGUCUUGUAUACUUGCUUAGCAUCUUAGCGCCUAGACCAAAAACCCAUUCAAAUACAUAGUAGCUAGCUAGCUUGCUGCUAAUAACUUUAACGUUAGCAUGUCGACUCGGUCUGGGAAACUCCAAUUCGGAUCUGAAUAUUUUUGGAGUAAUUAUAAGUUAUUUGAGGAUCAGACACAUUGUCAGGUGUUGGUGUUGGGAUAUUUUCGCGGAGAAAAGAUCGUUUUGAGAAAUAGUGUAUGUUGUACAGCAGCAUGUAAGUACAGAUCCAAGUCUGACAGGUUCAGUCGGCAUUUCGGUAGGAUGACGCACGCCGGGAGUAUCGGGGCGCAGCGCCCCUGUUCCCUUGUUUAGAAAAAAC
Molecule: long non-coding RNA, 2341 nt
Organism: Gadus morhua (Atlantic cod)
Lineage: Eukaryota; Metazoa; Chordata; Actinopteri; Gadiformes; Gadidae
Source: Ensembl